RNAcentral lists this ribosomal RNA (497 nucleotides) under uncultured bacterium. RNAcentral describes it as "partial 16S ribosomal RNA". It matches the Rfam family "Bacterial small subunit ribosomal RNA", at positions 28 to 507 of the family's 1533-position model. The record is from RNAcentral.
GUUGAACGCUGGCGGCAUGCCUUAUACAUGCAAGUCGAACGAACACACGAUAAUGUUUGUCCUCUUACGGUAGCGUCGGACACGUGAGUGUCACAUAUCUAACCGUCCUAUAUAACUGGGAUUACUUCGUGAAACCAUUGCUUAUUCCCGAUUAUAUAUUGAACGACAUAGUUCAAUAUUGAAAGACCUUUUUUCUUUCGCUUAUCGGUUGACUCACUCCGGAUUAGCUAGUUGGUAAGGUAACGGCUUACCAAGGCAACGAUGCGUAGCCGACCUGAGAGGGUGAUCGGCCACACUGGAACUGAGACACGGUCCAGACUCCUACGGGAGGCAGCAGUAGGGAAUCUUGGGCAAUGGGCGAAAGCCUGAUGGAGCAACGCCGCGUGAAUGAUGAAGGUCUUCGGAUUGUAAAACUCUGUUAUUAGGGAAGAAAAAAGGAGUAAGUAAAUAUGCACGUGCUGACGGUACCUAAACAGAAAGCCACGGCUAACUACGUG